AUUGAACGCUGGCGGCAUGCCUAACACAUGCAAGUCGAACGGCAGCACAGCAGUAGCAAUACUGUGGGUGGCGAGUGGCGGACGAGUGAGGAAUACGUCGGAAUCUGCCCAGUCGUGGGGGAUAACUAGCCGAAAGGUUAGCUAAUACCGCAUACGACCGAGAGGUGAAAAGCGGGGGACCGCAAGGGCCUCGCGCGAUUGGAUGAGCCGACGUCGGAUUAGCUAGUUGGCGGGUAAAGGCCCACCAAGGCGACGAUCCGUAGCUGGUCUGAGAGGAUGAUCAGCCACACUGGAACUGAGACACGGUCCAGACUCCUACGGGAGGCAGCAGUGGGGAAUAUUGGACAAUGGGCGCAAGCCUGAUCCAGCAAUGACCGCGUGUGUGAAG
Molecule: ribosomal RNA, 388 nt
Filed under: uncultured bacterium
Lineage: Bacteria
Description: bacterial SSU rRNA
Rfam family: Bacterial small subunit ribosomal RNA
Source: RNAcentral